ACAAUUUGUCCCCUACCUUGUUGA
This 24-nucleotide non-coding RNA is filed under the name Gossypium hirsutum (cotton). The record is from RNAcentral. Lineage: Eukaryota; Viridiplantae; Streptophyta; Magnoliopsida; Malvales; Malvaceae.